GAUUUUAUAGUUUUUUAAAAAUAUUAGAAUGCAAUUCUAAAGAAAUAAUUUAUAAAUUAUUAAAAUUU
Molecule: transfer RNA, 68 nt
Filed under: Tenthredo tienmushana
Lineage: Eukaryota; Metazoa; Arthropoda; Insecta; Hymenoptera; Tenthredinidae
Description: tRNA-Cys
Source: RNAcentral